This 266-nucleotide unclassified non-coding RNA is filed under the name Athalia rosae (coleseed sawfly). Its description in RNAcentral is "misc RNA ENSAEAG00005002360.1". The record is from RNAcentral. Lineage: Eukaryota; Metazoa; Arthropoda; Insecta; Hymenoptera; Athaliidae.
CUCGCUCGCAGCACCAAUUGAAGAACCAGACGACGCGAGUGUGGUAAAAAAGAAGUCUACGUGUGUGUCUGAGAGGAGAGUACAACUUUUUGCAGCCUCUCAGGGUUACGAGGGCCUGCAGCGUUGUUAGAGCUUGUAAAAAGAAGAAAAAAAAGUAGCAGCAGUAGAAAACUAAUUCCAAGUGUGAGAGAAGAACGAACGUAACGUUAUUCCAAGCGGGCUGAAUACCGUACGUGUAUAUCGGACUAUAUAAAUAUUGUACACAC